CGAACGCUGGCGGCGUGCCUAAUACAUGCAAGUAGAACGCUGAAGAGAGGAGCUUGCUCUUCUUGGAUGAGUUGCGAACGGGUGAGUAACGCGUAGGUAACCUGCCUUGUAGCGGGGGAUAACUAUUGGAAACGAUAGCUAAUACCGCAUAACAAUGGAUGACACAUGUCAUUUAUUUGAAAGGGGCAAUUGCUCCACUACAAGAUGGACCUGCGUUGUAUUAGCUAGUAGGUGAGGUAACGGCUCACCUAGGCGACGAUACAUAGCCGACCUGAGAGGGUGAUCGGCCACACUGGGACUGAGACACGGCCCAGACUCCUACGGGAGGCAGCAGUAGGGAAUCUUCGGCAAUGGGGGCAACCCUGACCGAGCAACGCCGCGUGAGUGAAGAAGGUUUUCGGAUCGUAAAGCUCUGUUGUAAGUCAAGAACGAGUGUGAGAGUGGAAAGUUCACACUGUGACGGUAGCUUACCAGAAAGGGACGGCUAACUACGUGCCAGCAGCCGCGGUAAUACGUAGGUCCCGAGCGUUGUCCGGAUUUAUUGGGCGUAAAGCGAGCGCAGGCGGUUUGAUAAGUCUGAAGUUAAAGGCUGUGGCUCAACCAUAGUUCGCUUUGGAAACUGUCAAACUUGAGUGCAGAAGGGGAGAGUGGAAUUCCAUGUGUAGCGGUGAAAUGCGUAGAUAUAUGGAGGAACACCGGUGGCGAAAGCGGCUCUCUGGUCUGUAACUGACGCUGAGGCUCGAAAGCGUGGGGAGCGAACAGGAUUAGAUACCCUGGUAGUCCACGCCGUAAACGAUGAGUGCUAGGUGUUGGAUCCUUUCCGGGAUUCAGUGCCGCAGCUAACGCAUUAAGCACUCCGCCUGGGGAGUACGACCGCAAGGUUGAAACUCAAAGGAAUUGACGGGGGCCCGCACAAGCGGUGGAGCAUGUGGUUUAAUUCGAAGCAACGCGAAGAACCUUACCAGGUCUUGACAUCCCGAUGCUAUUUCUAGAGAUAGAAAGUUACUUCGGUACAUCGGUGACAGGUGGUGCAUGGUUGUCGUCAGCUCGUGUCGUGAGAUGUUGGGUUAAGUCCCGCAACGAGCGCAACCCCUAUUGUUAGUUGCCAUCAUUCAGUUGGGCACUCUAGCGAGACUGCCGGUAAUAAACCGGAGGAAGGUGGGGAUGACGUCAAAUCAUCAUGCCCCUUAUGACCUGGGCUACACACGUGCUACAAUGGUUGGUACAACGAGUUGCGAGUCGGUGACGGCAAGCUAAUCUCUUAAAGCCAAUCUCAGUUCGGAUUGUAGGCUGCAACUCGCCUACAUGAAGUCGGAAUCGCUAGUAAUCGCGGAUCAGCACGCCGCGGUGAAUACGUUCCCGGGCCUUGUACACACCGCCCGUCACACCACGAGAGUUUGUAACACCCGAAGUCGGUGAGGUAACCUUUUGGAGCCAGCCGCCUAAGGUGGGAUAGAUGAUUGGGGUGAA
RNAcentral lists this ribosomal RNA (1470 nucleotides) under uncultured organism. RNAcentral's name for it is "SSU rRNA". It matches the Rfam family "Bacterial small subunit ribosomal RNA". The record is from RNAcentral.